This 497-nucleotide ribosomal RNA is filed under the name uncultured bacterium. RNAcentral describes it as "partial 16S ribosomal RNA". It matches the Rfam family "Bacterial small subunit ribosomal RNA", at positions 28 to 507 of the family's 1533-position model. The record is from RNAcentral.
GAUGAACGCUGGCGGCGUGCCUAAUACAUGCAAGUCGAGCGAACAGACGAGGAGCUUGCUCCUCUGACGUUAGCGGCGGACGGGUGAGUAACACGUGGAUAACCUACCUAUAAGACUGGGAUAACUUCGGGAAACCGGAGCUAAUACCGGAUAAUAUAUUGAACCGCAUGGUUCAAUAGUGAAAGACGGUUUUGCUGUCACUUAUAGAUGGAUCCGCGCCGCAUUAGCUAGUUGGUAAGGUAACGGAUUACCAAGGCAACGAUGCGUAGCCGACCUGAGAGGGCGAUCGGCCACACUGGAAAUGAGACACGGUCAAGACUCCUACGAGAGGCAGCAGUAGGGAAUCUUCCGCAAUGGGCGAAAGCCUGACGGAGCAACGCCGCGUGAGUGAUGAAGGUCUUCGGAUCGUAAGACUCUGUUAUUAGGGAAGAACAAAUGUGUAAGUAACUAUGAACGUCUUGACGGUACCUAAUCAGAAAGCCACGGCUAACUACGUG